CUUGCGGGCCAGACGGAGGGCAGCACCAGCCAGCUGAGCGGGCAGAUACACCACACAACGACCCUCAAGAAGCGACAGCUCCAACAGCAGCCAGAAAGAGGCAAACCACACCCAACAACUGCAGGCCGGAGAUGGACACUUUGAUGAGCCGGAGCGCUCGAUUCAACAAGUGCACUGCCAGAUAAAGCGUUUCCUCCGAGAACUGAAACACUUCCUAAGGUUUGUAGUGCUGUCCUGAACCAAUCUCCUCUCCUUCAGCAAACACCUUGCGCUCCCUCAGAACACAGGAGUUUGCCCAAGUCCGCAGCGGCACUUGUCUGUCCUCGGUCUUCAAGCACAAAAGUCUCAUUUACUCGGUACACUCAAACAAAACAACUUUUUUUUUUUUUUGCUGCUUGAUCAAACCAUCACACUUAAUUGUUUUGACAAAUUUAAGUGGAUUGAACAUUAAAAUUAAGUUAACUUUAAUUUGUAUUGGGACAACAUGAAGGAAUUGUGUGGAACCCAACAUUUUUUAUUUUUUUUUUACAGUGUAGUUUAAGCAUUGACCGUUCAAAUAUGGCAGUCUUUUUAUCUAUAUAGACGUUCCAAAAUAAUUGUCCAAGCAAAUAUGCACACAUUCAAAUGCUGGGUUAAAUUUUCAACCCAGGAGUUGGAUUUGUCCUCAUUUGAUUUGGCGUUUGAAAUCACAAAAAUUGUUCGCCGUUUGUUCAGUUUACUCAUUUAAAAUAACUCAAACAACAAUUCUUGAGUCUUAAUGCUCUUGAGCGCUUAAUCGUUUUGUGUUCAAUCCACAUAAAUUUGUAAAAACCAUUAAGUUAAGUCCUUCAUGUUGUCUCAACACCAACUGAUUGUGGAACUCAGCAUUUACUUAAUGCAAGGGAUCCAAACAAGAGUGUUCAGUUUUCGAUCAGAACAUAAUUAGCAUGAACACCUUCUGGCACAUCCAGCUCUCGGCUAGAAAUAAAACAAGAUCUGUGGAUAACUCUACACAAAGACUAACACAUUAACAAAUUGCUGAAACCUGCAGUCACUUAAAGUCAUAAUGAAACUUAAAUAUCACCAUUUUAAAGUAAACAUUUGAGCUAAACACGGAGCAGAACUGCUUUCCUCAAGCAAUCUAAAUCACAACCUUAUUUUAUUCAAAUCUAAAACUGUCGUAAGUGAACAAAAGCUCUGGUAGUAAAAACAUGGUAAUUGCCUUGCUUGGCCUUCAAGAAAUCAGAAUAUUGUGUGCUAACUUGUGGGUAACAAGUUCCACUUAGCUAAAAACCAACAAAAAGCCUUGAACUGCAACAUUAUUUGGUUUACACUGGAAUCUGACAGGGAUUCUCACCAUAUGUCGGUCCAACAGUUGCCUAGAAUUACAAAACCCAGUCAGAGCCAUGAUUCACCUGGACACUGCAGCUACCUGCAUGCACUGGACCUGCAGCUGUACACUGACAUGUAGCUAGCUAAUUAACACAAGUGGCACUAAUAAAGCUUCCUAAUUGACCCUUCGCUUAGCUCCGCCUCCCCCAUGCAACUAGCUUGCUUUAUUGUCAUGCAAGCCUUUGGAAAUUCUGUUCAAGGAGUUUUAAAACUUUGAACAUAAAUUGCUCACAUAUAUGGUACACGAUUGCUUGAGCUGUUACUCUUAUUAAUAAUAAAAUAAUCAAAAUAAUAUAGUUUAGUAGUUUACAUUAGGAAUAGAAUUACAUUUUUGAGUAGUUUAAAGCUGGCUAUUUUUUAUCUGUAUCUAACAGAAAAAACAUAGAGAAUAUUAUUUUAAUUUUACUUUAAUGGGUAGAAACCAUUAAUAAAAGAUUUAGGCAAAAAUAUUUCUGAGUGCACAGGUAAUACCUUCAAGACAAAAAGGUUCAAGACAAAAAAGGUUAAGGACAAAAAGAUCCACUGUUCUUUCCCUGCUUUUUCUUAGGACACCCACCACCAGACGUUUCCUACAGUAGACAUUUAGCUUAUUUAUUUAUAUAAUUAUUGGAUUAUUAGAUAUAAAAAAAAUCCCUUUAUAAACAAAAAAAAUAAAUACCCUUUAUAUAUACACACACACACACACACACACACACACUACCUGAUAAAUAAUAACUACAACAAAUAAUAACUUGACUUCUAGUUGAUCAUUUGGAAAAGUGGCAAAAGGUAGAUUUUUCCGAUGAAUCAUCACAAAUACUGCAGAAGACCUGUUGAAACCCGCAUGGACCCAAGAUUCUCACAGAAAUCAGUCAAGUAUGGUGAUGGAAAAAUCAUGGUUUGGGGUUACAUUCAGUAUGGCGGCGUGCGAGAGAUCUGUAGAGUGGAUGGCAACAUCAACAGCCUGAGGUAUAAAGACAUUUGUGCUGCCCAUUACAUUACAAACCACAGGAGAGGGCAAAUUCUUCAGCAGGAUAGAUCUCCUUCCAUACUUCAGCCUCCACAUCAAAGUUCCUGAAAGCAAAGAAGGUCAAGGUGCUCCAGGAUUGGCCAGCCCAGUCACCAGACAUAAACAUUAUUGAGCAUGUCUGGGGUAAGAUGGAGGAGACAUUGAAGAUGAAUCCAAAGAGUCAUGUUGAACUCUGGGAAUCCUGCAAGAACACUUUCUUUGCCAUUCCAGAUGACUUUAUUAAUAACUUAUUUGAAUCAUUGCAGAGAUGUAUGGAUGCAGUCCUCCAAGCUUAUGUGAGUCAUACACAAUAUUAAUUCUUU
Danio aesculapii is the source of this 2682-nucleotide long non-coding RNA. RefSeq lists it as uncharacterized. Lineage: Eukaryota; Metazoa; Chordata; Actinopteri; Cypriniformes; Danionidae. The record is from RefSeq and is a predicted model, not a curated record. The transcript is spliced from 3 exons.